Molecule: ribosomal RNA, 497 nt
Filed under: uncultured bacterium
Lineage: Bacteria
Description: partial 16S ribosomal RNA
Rfam family: Bacterial small subunit ribosomal RNA
Source: RNAcentral
GACGAACGCUGGCGGCGUGCCUAAUACAUGCAAGUAGAACGCUGAAGAGAGGAGCUUGCUCUUCUUGGAUGAGUUGCGAACGGGUGAGUAACGCGUAGGUAACCUGCCUUGUAGCGGGGGAUAACUAUUGGAAACGAUAGCUAAUACCGCAUAACAAUGGAUGACACAUGUCAUUUAUUUGAAAGGGGCAAUUGCUCCACUACAAGAUGGACCUGCGUUGUAUUAGCUAGUAGGUGAGGUAAUGGCUCACCUAGGCGACGAUACAUAGCCGACCUGAGAGGGUGAUCGGCCACGCUGGGACGGGGACACGGCCCAGACUCCUACGGGAGGGAGCAGUAGGGAAUCUUCGGCAAUGGGGGCAACCCUGACCGAGCAACGCCGCGUGAGUGAAGAAGGUUUUCGGAUCGUAAAGCUCUGUUGUAAGUCAAGAACGGGUGUGAGAGUGGAAAGUUCACACUGUGACGGUAGCUGAACAGAAAGGGACGGCUAACUACGUG